RNAcentral lists this long non-coding RNA (423 nucleotides) under Elaeis guineensis (African oil palm). RNAcentral's name for it is "long non-coding RNA (EGUI_LNC022741)". The record is from RNAcentral. Lineage: Eukaryota; Viridiplantae; Streptophyta; Magnoliopsida; Arecales; Arecaceae.
UUGGCAAUCACAGGAUCAAGAUUGUUAGCCGUGGGCUUCACCCGGAUGGUUGAUCGAGUUAGUGGUUUGAAAUGGGCGUGGGGUCAAGGUUUUGAGCUCAUAUCUAGUGUGGCUUCGCCAAGUUACUUUCGAUGGUUAUCAUGGGAACGGUUGAUCUAGUCGGUGGAUCAUCUCUACAACAGGCUAGAUAAAUCAAGUGAUCAAAAUUAAAAAAAUAUAUAUAAAGAAAAACGAGCUAUAUGUUACCCUAUUUAUUUUUCUAAUUAGAAAAGAAAUGUAUACAUGAUUCAUGAAUUUUCAUUUUAGCUAAAAUUUAACUAAAGAAAAAGAGUCAAUUCCAAAAAUCUUUAAACUAUUUUUAUUUUUAAAUCAAAAAAUAAAAUUAAAUAAAAUAUUAUAAUUAUUAUUUAAAUAUAAUAUAGA